RNAcentral lists this ribosomal RNA (472 nucleotides) under Coleosporium plumeriae. RNAcentral describes it as "partial 28S ribosomal RNA". It matches the Rfam family "Eukaryotic large subunit ribosomal RNA", at positions 127 to 596 of the family's 3401-position model. The record is from RNAcentral. Lineage: Eukaryota; Fungi; Basidiomycota; Pucciniomycetes; Pucciniales; Coleosporiaceae.
UUUUAUAGGAGUCGAGUUGUAAUUUUGAGAACUGUUUUCUGUGCUGGACCAUAUACAAGUCUGUUGGAAAACAGCAUCAUUGAGGGUGAUAAUCCCGUAGAUGAUAUGGACUACCAGUGCAAUAUGAUACAGUCUCUAAGAGUCGAGUUGUUUGGGAAUGCAGCUCAAAGAGGGUGGUAAAUUCCAUCUAAGGCUAAAUAUAGGUGAGAGACCGAUAGCAAACAAGUACCGUGAGGGAAAGAUGAAAAGAACUUUGGAAAGAGAGUUAACAGUACGUGAAAUUGUUAAAAGGGAAACAUUUGAAGUUAGACUUGUUAUUAUUGGUUCAGCUUCUCUUUUUUAAUUAGGAGUUUAUUCCAAUGGUUGACAGACCAGCAUCAAUUUUUGAGUGUUAGAUAAGGGUCUUGGAGAAUGUGGCAACUUUGGUUGUGUUAUAGCUCCUGGCUUGAUAUAAUGCUUAAGAUUGAGGAAC